UAAAGGCAAUCGAGUCAAAUAUUGGUGCUAAUUUCACUAAAGUUUUUAACGGUUUAAACCUAAAAGUUUAUUCAAAAAGGUCACUCAAAAAUGUUAAUUAUGCAAAUGUAGAAAAUAAUGAAGAAAAGGUUCAAGAAAGUGAAUCUGAUUACACUAAUGAAAGCUAAGAUGAGGACAGUGAAAAUUUUGAUUUAGAUGAAAAACGAGAUCUUAGUUCCAGUAUUUUUAUUUUACUCAAACUUACAAAAACAUUGUUACAUUUAUUUAAAAUUAGAAAAGUAUUUUUUCCUUAAACAAGUUCAGUUUUACCAAUACAAUAUCUUUUAGAAUCAAAACCAAAAAAGUGGACUGUAAAGCAGGUUGAAGCUUUGAAUCGUUACUUUGGGGAUUUUAUCUGCGGAAGAAUUUCCGAUUGCCCUACUCGAAAAGAAAUAGAAGGUUUUCGAAUAAAAAAUGCAAUUGAUUUUCCUUACUCAAAAAUCCGCUCUAAAUUAGUCAAUGAUCGCGAGAAAAACAGACAAUAGAUAAG
Non-coding RNA from Hydra vulgaris (swiftwater hydra), 529 nucleotides. NCBI's taxonomy places the organism in Eukaryota, Metazoa, Cnidaria, Hydrozoa, Anthoathecata, Hydridae. The record is from RefSeq and is a predicted model, not a curated record.